Molecule: long non-coding RNA, 526 nt
Filed under: Vulpes vulpes (red fox)
Lineage: Eukaryota; Metazoa; Chordata; Mammalia; Carnivora; Canidae
Description: lncRNA (ENSVVUG00000000693.1)
Source: RNAcentral
UGUCACCCUAUUGGGUCUCCCUUGAGGACUGUAUCGUAUCAGAUUCAUCUUUGUGUCCUAUGUUGUAACCAACUUUGCACAUUUCAGGUACUCAAUCAAUAUGUCUGGGAAGGAUAUGUGAAUAAGUGCUUUCUUAUAUUUGGCCAGGUCAGAAGAUGCCAGAAGUAGGAUGUCCAGACCCAACAACUACCCAAAGAGAGGAAACAGAGCUUCAAGAAGAAGGUGGUGGUAAAAUGCCAAGGGACAUUAGAAAGAAUUUCCUGCCCUUGGAAUUCUGGUAGCAGAGAGACAGAAAAGGAAGCCACUGAAAACCUUGAAAAGUUCAUUCAUGAGAUCAGAGGGGGACAGAAGCUGGACUACAAAAGCAAAAAGAAUAAAUGCAGUUUUGAAGUUCUCAGUCAUCCCUAUUAGGAGCUCACAUGCAGGGACACAGAUCCUGCUCCAAGAAUCUAUUAUCUGGAGAGUCAUUCUAGGCCGCACUACCAUCUCUGGUGAAAGUCCCUGCAGAUUCGGAAGCCUUGCCUAA